This is a non-coding RNA of Salmo salar (Atlantic salmon), 58 nucleotides long. Lineage: Eukaryota; Metazoa; Chordata; Actinopteri; Salmoniformes; Salmonidae. The record is from Rfam.
UAGCUCAGUUGGUAGAGCAUGGUGUUUGCAAUGCCAGGGUUGUGGGUUAGAUUCCCAC